RNAcentral lists this ribosomal RNA (495 nucleotides) under Triticum aestivum (bread wheat). RNAcentral describes it as "partial small subunit ribosomal RNA". Lineage: Eukaryota; Viridiplantae; Streptophyta; Magnoliopsida; Poales; Poaceae. The record is from RNAcentral.
AUGCAAGAUCAGACGGCCACAACGACGAGCUCGCCGCCUUCCAGCAGCGACAGGUCGUCCAGCAGCUCCAAGGAAGGGAUGGACAGCGACGACGACAUAGGGAGGGUGCCGGAGUUCGGGCUGUACCAGGGAGGCCCGUCGACCUCGGGAAGGGGGCAGGCGGCGGCCGGGGCUUCGUCGGAGCUCGCGCAGUCGGCGGCCGCUGCGCAGGCCAUUUCCCGCCGCCGCGGCCGUAGCCCGGCCGACAAGGAGCACCGGCGACUCAAAAGAUUGUUGAGGAACCGGGUGUCGGCGCAACAGGCACGGGAGAGGAAGAAGGCGUACAUGGGCGAGCUGGAGGCGAAGGUGAAGGACUUGGAGACAAGAAACUCAGAGCUCGAGGAGAGGCUCUCCACGCUGCAGAACGAGAACCAAAUGCUUAGACAGAUACUGAAAAACACCACCGGUAACAGGAGAGGACCGGGUGGCAGUGGCGGUGCCGGCGGGGAUAGCUAG